This 484-nucleotide ribosomal RNA is filed under the name uncultured bacterium. Its description in RNAcentral is "partial 16S ribosomal RNA". It matches the Rfam family "Bacterial small subunit ribosomal RNA", at positions 30 to 507 of the family's 1533-position model. The record is from RNAcentral.
AUUGAACGCUGGCGGCAGGCCUAACACAUGCAAGUCGAGCGGCAGCACGGAGCUUGCUCCUGGAUUCAGCGGCGGACGGGUGAGUAAUGCCUAGGAACCUGCCUAGUAGUGGGGGAUAACGUGCGGAAACGGGCGCUAAUACCGCAUACGUCCUGAGGGAGAAAGUGGGGGAGCUUCGGACCUCCCGCUCUUGGAUGAGCCGAGGUCGGAUUAGCUAGUUGGUGGGGUAAAGGCCUACCAAGGCGACGAUCCGUAGCUGGUCUGAGAGGAUGAUCAGUCACACUGGAACUGAGACACGGUCCAGACUCCUACGGGAGGCAGCAGUGGGGAAUAUUGGACAAUGGGCGAAAGCCUGAUCCAGCCAUGCCGCGUGUGUGAAGAAGGUCUUCGGAUUGUAAAGCACUUUUGGUUGGGAAGAAGGGCAGUAAGUUAAUACCUUGCUGUUUUGACGUUACCAACAGAAUAAGCACCGGCUAACUUCGUG